Danio rerio (zebrafish) is the source of this 74-nucleotide non-coding RNA. Lineage: Eukaryota; Metazoa; Chordata; Actinopteri; Cypriniformes; Danionidae. The record is from Rfam.
GUCUCUGUGGCGCAAUAGGUUAGCGCGUUCGGCUGUUAAGUGAAAGGUUGGUGGUUCAAGCCCACCUAGGGACG